This 253-nucleotide ribosomal RNA is filed under the name uncultured bacterium. RNAcentral's name for it is "partial 16S ribosomal RNA". It matches the Rfam family "Bacterial small subunit ribosomal RNA", at positions 524 to 776 of the family's 1533-position model. The record is from RNAcentral.
UACGUAGGUGACAAGCGUUGUCCGGAUUUACUGGGCGUAAAGAGCGCGCAGGCGGUCUGUCGCGUCGGCUGUGAAAACCCGGGGCUCAACUCCGGGCCUGCAGUCGAUACGGGCAGACUAGAGUUCGGUAGGGGAGACUGGAAUUCCUGGUGUAGCGGUGAAAUGCGCAGAUAUCAGGAGGAACACCGGUGGCGAAGGCGGGUCUCUGGGCCGAAACUGACGCUGAGGAGCGAAAGCGUGGGGAGCGAACAGG